This is a long non-coding RNA of Venturia canescens, 1218 nucleotides long. RefSeq lists it as uncharacterized. The record is from RefSeq and is a predicted model, not a curated record. NCBI's taxonomy places the organism in Eukaryota, Metazoa, Arthropoda, Insecta, Hymenoptera, Ichneumonidae. The transcript is spliced from 4 exons.
CCAAAUUUGAUCAAUUUCUUAAUAUUUUGACUUUUGUACCGAAACUCCUUAAUUCUGUGCGUGUGUGUGAACCGCGCAUCGAAUGAAGGCCCAACGGGAGAAUUGUUCCCGUUCAUGUGAGAGAGUAAGUUCGAGAGUAAGUUGGAGUAAAUGUUAAUUCACGGUUCCGUCUUCAAAAUCGUAUCUCGAUCCAUUCAAAUUGUAAACCUUUUUGUAUCUUUCCUUUUCGCAUACUUUUCACAUAUAUUUCUGUUCUCGACGAACCUUCUGUUUCCAUCUCAAUAAAUCUGAUUUCCCGGUUAAUAAUUAUUUGAGCGACCCAAUCUCCUGCUUAUUCGGGACCCGUACGGGACCAUAUAGGCACCCUUUCGUUAUUUCUUAAAUUAUUUCGAUUACUUAAUCACUUCAAUAUUGCAAUAUUUCCAAUUAUUUUAAUUUCAUUUAGACCAAACAAAAUAUUUUAAUAAAUAUUUCACAUUUCAAAAAUCCUACACUUUGUGUAGGUUGGUGGCAGCGAAAACUAAGUAAAAUUUCCCAAUUAUGUUCGUCCCUUCUGGACGUAACAUAGGAAAAUGAAGAUUUUCAUAAAGUGUUGAUCGGUCUUUGGAGUAUUCGCACGAGACUUACUGAUCUAGGCGAGAUUUCCUGGUUACCACAAACGUUUUGGAGUCAGUGGCUUCCACAACCAAUGUGACCAAUGUCUGAAGAACAUAUUUCGGAGGAACAGAUCUUCAGGCAACAAUCAGACAACGGAUCAACAGUGAUGGAUAGCAAGGAUGGGACAUGACAACCGACGAGGAGGAACACAAUGAUACGACGUUUAUAGCAGCACGAUCAUUGGAAUCAACAAGCAUGAGGAUGCAACAGAGGAACAGUAGCAAAGCUCGCAUACUCAAGCUUCACGUUGCAGCAACAACUCAAUGAUCUCGUCGAAUUGAAUGGUUCGAACGACAUCCGCAGGGACAGCGAGCCCCGCAGGGACAGAAAAAGCGGUACCGAUAGCAGCCAACAAACGAAGAUUGCACGAAGAAAAAAAAUUGUUUAAAAUCUAUUUGCAUACAUUCCAAUUGGCAUUUCAAUAUUACGUGCUAUGUUACGCGAAUUUUAUAUCGUUUUUGAAUUUUUUAUGUAUAAAGAAUUCUGUUUUACUAUACAUUUUGUUAUAAAACGAUUUGUGGUAAAAUUUUUAAUUUUUUUUUAAAUUUUACUUUUUUAAGU